This 497-nucleotide ribosomal RNA is filed under the name uncultured bacterium. RNAcentral describes it as "partial 16S ribosomal RNA". It matches the Rfam family "Bacterial small subunit ribosomal RNA", at positions 28 to 507 of the family's 1533-position model. The record is from RNAcentral.
GAUGAACGCUGGCGGCGUGCCUAAUACAUGCCAGUCGAGCGAACGGACGAGAAGCUUGCUUCUCUGAUGUUAGCGGCGGACGGGUGAGUAACACGUGGAUAACCUACCUAUAAGACUGGGAUAACUUCGGGAAACCGGAGCUAAUACCGGAUAAUAUUUUGAACCGCAUGGUUCAAAAGUGAAAGACGGUCUUGCUGUCACUUAUAGAUGGAUCCGCGCUGCAUUAGCUAGUUGGUAAGGUAGCGGCUUACCAAGGCAACGAUGCAUAGCCGACCUGAGAGGGUGAUCGGCCACACUAGAACUGAGACACGGUCCAGACUCCUACGGGAGGCAGCAGUAGGGAAUCUUCCGCAAUGGGCGAAAGCCUGACGGAGCAACGCCGCGUGAGUGAUGAAGGUCUUCGGAUCGUAAAACUCUGUUAUUAGGGAAGAACAUAUGUGUAAGUAACUGUGCACAUCUUGACGGUACCUAAUCAGAAAGCCACGGCUAACUACGUG